GCCCAUUGAUUUAUAAAUAAAAAUUUUAAAUAAUUGAAAAUAAAUUUAAAGGACGCGGUAUACUGACCGUGAUAAUGUAGCAUAAUCAUUCGCCAUUUAAUUAAUGGAUAGUAUGAAUGGUUGAACGAAUAUAACACUGUCUUAAAUAAAAAAUCUAUAAAAUUGAAAUAAUAGUAAAGAUGCUAUUUAAAAUUGUAAGACGAGAAGACCCUAUAGAGCUUAACUACAUUUAUUUUAUAAAAUAAAAUGGUAGUUUAGUUGGGGCGACUACCUUUUAAAAAAAACAAAGGUAAUCAAAAAUUAAUUAAUUAAUUUAUUGUUUAAUAUAUAUAUUUAACAAUUACAAAAGUAGGAAAUAAUGACCCAUUAAAUAAAAAAAGUAUUAUUAAUGAUUAAUAAAUAAAAGCUACCUUAGGGAUAACAGGAUAA
This 429-nucleotide ribosomal RNA is filed under the name Pennaria disticha. RNAcentral's name for it is "partial 16S ribosomal RNA". It matches the Rfam family "Bacterial large subunit ribosomal RNA", at positions 1861 to 2485 of the family's 2925-position model. The record is from RNAcentral. Lineage: Eukaryota; Metazoa; Cnidaria; Hydrozoa; Anthoathecata; Pennariidae.